This 468-nucleotide ribosomal RNA is filed under the name uncultured bacterium. RNAcentral describes it as "partial 16S ribosomal RNA". It matches the Rfam family "Bacterial small subunit ribosomal RNA", at positions 28 to 507 of the family's 1533-position model. The record is from RNAcentral.
GACGAACGCUGGCGGCGUGCUUAAUACAUGCAAGUCGAACGGAAAGACGCUGCUCUUGCUGGGUUCUCGAUUGGCGAACGCGGGAGUAACACGUGUGUAACCUCCACUUGUCUGUGUGAGAACUUCAGGAAACUGGGGCUAAUACCGCAGAUGAUCUCCUGCUGCACGGUGGGGGAUGGAGAGUGUCGGCGGUUGUGGAUGGUCUCGCUGCUUAUCAGCUUGUUUGUGAGGUAGUGGCUUACAAAGGCUAUGACGGGUAGCCGGCCUGAGAGCGUGACCAGGCACAUUGCGACUGCGAUACGGAGCAGACUGCUACGUGAGGCAGCAGUCGGAAAUAUUGCAGAAUGGGCGCACGCGUGAUGUGGAGACGCUGCGUGCGGGAAGACGGCUUUCUGGUUGUAAACCGCUUUCGCAUGUGACGUGGAGUUCGUGACGGUAAUGGGUAAGGAAGCCCCGGCUAACUACGUG